Molecule: long non-coding RNA, 528 nt
Organism: Talpa occidentalis (Iberian mole)
Lineage: Eukaryota; Metazoa; Chordata; Mammalia; Eulipotyphla; Talpidae
Exons: 3
Source: RefSeq, a predicted model, not a curated record
GAAUCUUCCUCCACCGUCAUCCGGGGAGCCGCUGGCUCCAGGACUCACAGAAGGGACGGUGCCAUCUUGCACGAACAGCCUUUGUUUUGGAUACUGCGGACACUGUCUGGGAACAAAUGAACUGAUCUUAAACCUACUGAACCCUGGAGAGGACUCUGUGGACAGUCAGGGACUGCCUUGCUAUUUGGAACUUGUCUGGAUGCUCCAUAGAUGUGGAAGAUGAACAGAGGGGAUCUCUUGAGCAUAAAAAAUAUCUUCAAACAAAGGAGAUAUUAGAAGACUCAUGUCUUCUAGACUUGCCUACAGUCUGUGUGACUCACUCUCCAAAAUGGGAAGAGUUUCAGAGUGAUUUCAAAGAGGCUUUGGAAAAACUUGUCCCAUCUCAGCAAGAAGCUAGUUGCUUAAUAUAUAUGUCUGGUGAAAAAAACAACCUACUGCUCAGACCUUCUUGGACAUCCUUGCUCCUGAAUGUAAUGGAAACUGACAACCAGAGGCUUCCAUUCAUGUCUCUUUGGCUCCAUGGAAAUC